AGCUGAGCUGGCAGCUGAUUCUUUGGCUGCAUGUGCUCGUUUNCUNACCAAAUCUUUAUUUAAACACCUGUGCACCCUUUUUGUAAAGGAAGGGGGGUCCCUUGCAGAAUGGAUUCACUGUCUUUCGCGAAUUCAGCGGAUCUUUGUGUGGGGGUUCCCUUUCUACACACACACAACACACUCCUUUAAUAUUAUUGAAUGUGGUUGUACCGAAAGGUUCAUGAAAUAGGAUUAACAACUUUUAACAACGGAUCUCUUGGCUCUCGCAUCGAUGAAGAACGCAGCGAAAUGCGAUAAGUAAUGUGAAUUGCAGAAUUCAGUGAAUCAUCGAAUUUUUGAACGCAUCUUGCGCUCCCUGGUAUUCCGAGGAGCACGCCUGUUCGAGUGUCGUGAAAUUUUCAGACUGUUGAAGCUUUUUUUUGACUUUUGGUCAAAGAGGGUUUAUCUCAGUUUGGUGUUGGGCUCUGCCGUGCUUCUGAUCGGGACGGCUGGCCUUAAAAGCAUUAGCUGGCCCUUGUGAAUGUGUUGGUUCUACUCAGUGUGAUAAUUACUUCUGAUCGCUGAGGACAUCUUGCGAGAUGGCCAAUUCUCAUUUGGGCUGCUUGUAAUCCGGUUGAUAGAUUCCUGAAUCUGUCCCACUCUAA
This 644-nucleotide ribosomal RNA is filed under the name Clavulinaceae sp. YM2926. RNAcentral's name for it is "eukaryotic LSU rRNA". The stretch from base 237 to 390 matches the Rfam family "5.8S ribosomal RNA". Lineage: Eukaryota; Fungi; Basidiomycota; Agaricomycetes; Cantharellales; Hydnaceae. The record is from RNAcentral.